UACGGAGGGAGCUAGCGUUGUUCGGAAUUACUGGGCGUAAAGCGCACGUAGGCGGCUUUGUAAGUUAGAGGUGAAAGCCCGGGGCUCAACUCCGGAACUGCCUUUAAGACUGCAUCGCUUGAAUCCGGGAGAGGUGAGUGGAAUUCCGAGUGUAGAGGUGAAAUUCGUAGAUAUUCGGAAGAACACCAGUGGCGAAGGCGGCUCACUGGACCGGUAUUGACGCUGAGGUGCGAAAGCGUGGGGAGCGAACAGG
RNAcentral lists this ribosomal RNA (253 nucleotides) under uncultured bacterium. RNAcentral's name for it is "partial 16S ribosomal RNA". It matches the Rfam family "Bacterial small subunit ribosomal RNA", at positions 524 to 776 of the family's 1533-position model. The record is from RNAcentral.